UACGAAGGGGGCUAGCGUUGUUCGGAAUUACUGGGCGUAAAGCGCACGUAGGCGGAUAUUUAAGUCAGGGGUGAAAGCCCAGAGCUCAACUCUGGAAUUGCCUUUGAGACUGAGUGGCUUGAGUACGGGAGAGGUGAGUGGAAUUCCCAGUGUAGAGGUGAAAUUCGUAGAUAUUGGGAAGAACACCGGUGGCGAAGGCGGCUCACUGGCCCGUAACUGACGCUCAUGCACGACAGCGUGGGGAUCAAACAGG
This 253-nucleotide ribosomal RNA is filed under the name uncultured bacterium. RNAcentral's name for it is "partial 16S ribosomal RNA". It matches the Rfam family "Bacterial small subunit ribosomal RNA", at positions 524 to 776 of the family's 1533-position model. The record is from RNAcentral.